AACGAACGCUGGCGGCAUGCCUAACACAUGCAAGUCGAACGAAGCCUUCGGGCUUAGUGGCGCACGGGUGCGUAACGCGGGGGAAUCUGCCCCUUGCUUCGGAAUAACAGUUAGAAAUGACUGCUAAUACCGGAUGAAUUCUUCGGACCAAAGAUUUAUCGGCAAGGGAUGAGCCCGCGUAGGAUUAGGUAGUUGGUGGGGUAAAGGCCUACCAAGCCGACGAUCCUUAGCUGGUCUGAGAGGAUGCUCAGCCACACUGGGACUGAGACACGGCCCAGACUCCUACGGGAGGCAGCAGUGGGGAAUAUUGGACAAUGGACGCAAGUCUGAUCCAGCAAUGCCGCGUGAGUGAUGAAGGCCUUAGGGUUGUAAAGCUCUUUUACCAGGGAUGAUAAUGACAGUACCUGGAGAAUAAGCUCCGGCUAACUCCGUG
This 433-nucleotide ribosomal RNA is filed under the name uncultured bacterium. RNAcentral's name for it is "partial 16S ribosomal RNA". It matches the Rfam family "Bacterial small subunit ribosomal RNA", at positions 29 to 507 of the family's 1533-position model. The record is from RNAcentral.